UACGUAGGGUGCAAGCGUUGUCCGGAAUUAUUGGGCGUAAAGAGCUCGUAGGCGGUUUGCUGCGUCGGCUGUGAAAUCCCGAGGCUCAACCUCGGGUCUGCAGUCGAUACGAGCAAACUAGAGUGUUGCAGGGGAGACUGGAAUUCCUGGUGUAGCGGUGAAAUGCGCAGAUAUCAGGAGGAACACCGGUGGCGAAGGCGGGUCUCUGGGCCGAAACUGACGCUGAGGAGCGAAAGCGUGGGGAGCGAACAGG
RNAcentral lists this ribosomal RNA (253 nucleotides) under uncultured bacterium. Its description in RNAcentral is "partial 16S ribosomal RNA". It matches the Rfam family "Bacterial small subunit ribosomal RNA", at positions 524 to 776 of the family's 1533-position model. The record is from RNAcentral.